RNAcentral lists this ribosomal RNA (429 nucleotides) under Acidobacteriota bacterium. RNAcentral describes it as "Acidobacteria bacterium partial 16S ribosomal RNA". It matches the Rfam family "Bacterial small subunit ribosomal RNA", at positions 355 to 776 of the family's 1533-position model. The record is from RNAcentral. Lineage: Bacteria; Pseudomonadati; Acidobacteriota.
UGGGGAAUUUUGGACAAUGGGGGAAACCCUGAUCCAGCCAUCCCGCGUGUGCGAUGAAGGCCUUCGGGUUGUAAAGCACUUUUGGCAGGAAAGAAACGUCAUGGGUUAAUACCCCGUGAAACUGACGGUACCUGCAGAAUAAGCACCGGCUAACUACGUGCCAGCAGCCGCGGUAAUACGUAGGGUGCAAGCGUUAAUCGGAAUUACUGGGCGUAAAGCGUGCGCAGGCGGUUCGGAAAGAAAGAUGUGAAAUCCCAGAGCUCAACUUUGGAACUGCAUUUUUAACUACCGGGCUAGAGUGUGUCAGAGAGAGGUGAAAUUCCGCGUGUAGCAGUGAAAUGCGUAGAUAUGCGGAGGAACACCGAUGGCGAAGGCAGCCUCCUGGGAUAACACUGACGCUCAUGCACGAAAGCGUGGGGAGCAAACAGG